This 1348-nucleotide ribosomal RNA is filed under the name metagenome. RNAcentral describes it as "bacterial LSU rRNA". It matches the Rfam family "Bacterial large subunit ribosomal RNA", at positions 1560 to 2925 of the family's 2925-position model. The record is from RNAcentral.
GAUGUGAUGGGGAAGCCCUUCGGGGCGAAGUAGCUGAUUUCACACUGUCAAGAAAAGCUUCUAUCGAGUUUAAAGGCGCCCGUACCGUAAACCGACACAGGUGGGUGAGGAGAGUAUCCUAAGGCCAGCGAGAGAACUAUUGUUAAGGAACUCGGCAAAAUGACCCCGUAACUUAGGGAGAAGGGGUGCCUGUCUAUGACAGGCCGCAGAGAAUAGGCCCAAGCGACUGUUUACCAAAAACACAGGUUUCUGCUAAGUCGCAAGACGAUGUAUAGGAGCUGACGCCUGCCCGGUGCUGGAAGGUUAAGGGGAUCUGUUAGAGCAAUCGAAGCAGUGAACUUAAGCCCCAGUAAACGGCGGCCGUAACGAUAACGGUCCUAAGGUAGCGAAAUUCCUUGUCGGGUAAGUUCCGACCCGCACGAAAGGCGUAACGAUUUGGGCACUGUCUCAACAAUAGACUCGGUGAAAUUGUAAUCCCGGUGAAGAUGCCGGGUACCUGCGACAGGACGGAAAGACCCCAUGGAGCUUUACUGUAGCUUGACGUUGGGUCUUGGUACUACAUGUACAGGAUAGGUGGGAGACUAUGAAGCAUGGACGCCAGUCUGUGUGGAGUCAUCCUUGGGAUACCACCCUUGUAGUACUGGGAUCCUAACCAUAGGCCUUGAAUCAGGUCUUGGAACACCGUCAGGUGGGCAGUUUGACUGGGGCGGUCGCCUCCUAAAAAGUAACGGAGGCGCUCAAAGGUUUCCUCAGCACGGUCGGAAAUCGUGCGAAGAGUGUAUAGGCAAAAGGAAGCUUGAUUGCAAGACAUACAGGUCGAGCAAGGACGAAAGUCGGACUUAGUGAUCCGGUGGUACCGCAUGGAAGGGCCAUCGCUCAACGGAUAAAAGCUACCCUGGGGAUAACAGGCUUAUCUCCCCCAAGAGUCCACAUCGACGGGGAGGUUUGGCACCUCGAUGUCGGCUCGUCACAUCCUGGGGCUGUAGUAGGUCCCAAGGGUUGGGCUGUUCGCCCAUUAAAGUGGUACGCGAGCUGGGUUCAGAACGUCGUGAGACAGUUCGGUCCCUAUCCGUCGCAGGCGUAGGAAAUUUGAGAAGACCUGUCCUUAGUACGAGAGGACCGGGAUGGACGUACCUCUGGUGUACCAGUUGUUCUGCCAAGGGCAUGGCUGGGUAGCUAUGUACGGAAUGGAUAAGCGCUGAAAGCAUCUAAGCGCGAAGCCAACUUCAAGAUAAGAUUUCCCACCGUAAGGGUAAGACCCCGGGAAGACUACCUGGUUGAUAGGUCGAAGGUGUAAGUGCAGUAAUGUAUUUAGCUUAUCGAUACUAAUAGGUCGAGGACUUGACCA